This 169-nucleotide unclassified non-coding RNA is filed under the name soil metagenome. RNAcentral's name for it is "partial internal transcribed spacer 1". The record is from RNAcentral.
CCUUUCAUUGCAGCAGAAUUGGGAUGGUUGAGUAUCUCGCCUCUCCGUUCUGCCUGUAUUCUACCCUUGUUUGUCAUAUACUAUUAUUUCCUCGGCAGGCUUGCCUGCCGAGUGAAACCAUUUAUAACCUUUUUAAUUUUCAAUCAGCGUCUGAAAAAAUUAAUAAUUA